CGCGUAGGGCGCGAGCGUUGUCCGGAAUUAUUGGGCGUAAAGAGCUCGUAGGCGGCCUGUUGCGUCCGCUGUGAAAGCCCGGGGCUUAACCCCGGGUCGGCAGUGGAUACGGGCAGGCUAGAGGUAGGUAGGGGAGAAUGGAAUUCCCGGUGUAGCGGUGAAAUGCGCAGAUAUCGGGAGGAACACCGGUGGCGAAGGCGGUUCUCUGGGCCUUACCUGACGCUGAGGAGCGAAAGCGUGGGGAGCGAACAGG
RNAcentral lists this ribosomal RNA (253 nucleotides) under uncultured bacterium. RNAcentral's name for it is "partial 16S ribosomal RNA". It matches the Rfam family "Bacterial small subunit ribosomal RNA", at positions 524 to 776 of the family's 1533-position model. The record is from RNAcentral.